RNAcentral lists this non-coding RNA (28 nucleotides) under Mus musculus (house mouse). The record is from RNAcentral. Lineage: Eukaryota; Metazoa; Chordata; Mammalia; Rodentia; Muridae.
UGGAGUCCACUAGCUUUAAAUUCAACUC